Molecule: transfer RNA, 71 nt
Filed under: Loxodonta africana (African savanna elephant)
Lineage: Eukaryota; Metazoa; Chordata; Mammalia; Proboscidea; Elephantidae
Rfam family: tRNA
About the family: Transfer RNA (tRNA) molecules are approximately 80 nucleotides in length. Their secondary structure includes four short double-helical elements and three loops (D, anti-codon, and T loops).
Source: Rfam by way of RNAcentral
GAGGUGGUAGUUCAGUGGUAGAAUUCUUGCCUUCCAUGCGGGAGACCCGGGUUCAAUUCCCGGCCAGUGCA